GAUGGGGAGAAGACAUUGUGUCUUCGAGUCGUUGAUUUCACACUGCCGAGAAAAGCCUCUAGAUAGAAAAUAGGUGCCCGUACCGCAAACCGACACAGGUAGUCAAGAUGAGAAUUCUAAGGUGAGCGAGCGAACUCUCGUUAAGGAACUCGGCAAAAUGACCCCGUAACUUCGGGAGAAGGGGUGCUCUUUAGGGUUAACGCCCAGAAGAGCCGCAGUGAAUAGGCCCAAGCGACUGUUUAUCAAAAACACAGGUCUCUGCUAAACCGUAAGGUGAUGUAUAGGGGCUGACGCCUGCCCGGUGCUGGAAGGUUAAGAGGAGUGGUUAGCUUCUGCGAAGCUACGAAUCGAAGCCCCAGUAAACGGCGGCCGUAACUAUAACGGUCCUAAGGUAGCGAAAUUCCUUGUCGGG
This 412-nucleotide ribosomal RNA is filed under the name Staphylococcus aureus. Its description in RNAcentral is "partial 23S ribosomal RNA". It matches the Rfam family "Bacterial large subunit ribosomal RNA", at positions 1564 to 1976 of the family's 2925-position model. Lineage: Bacteria; Bacillati; Bacillota; Bacilli; Caryophanales; Staphylococcaceae. The record is from RNAcentral.